GAAUUUAUCCCUUCGGGGGCCGCGGCCGUGCCCUCCGGGGUCCGGCCGUACAAUCCACAUCCAUAACACCUGUGAAAUGUCUUGUCAAGCCUGGUAGCCCUCACGGGUCGCCGGACUUGUCACAACCACAAACUUACUCUGUAAAAAAUGUCGAAUUAUUAUAAUCUAAUAAAACUUUUAACAACGGAUCUCUUGGCUCU
RNAcentral lists this unclassified non-coding RNA (200 nucleotides) under rhizosphere metagenome. RNAcentral describes it as "partial ribosomal RNA internal transcribed spacer region". The record is from RNAcentral.